UAUUCAUGUGGGUAGUCAAUGCUAAUUUGAAUGUAAAUAAAGUGCUAAGUGCCUUUAUGCAGAUGUACAUGUUUACAUGUUGUAUGUUCAGUGGAGUGGAUUUAUUGCAUGUAGAUUGAACGUUUUGCUCCCUUACUUUCUUGACUUUUUUCUUUCUGUCUUUUUGUAGACAAUAAUGGUAGAACAGAUCAGCUCCUGGCAAUAGUUAUGUAACAAACAACAAUAUAUACCAAAAAAUAGAUUAGAUCACUGUGGAAUUACUUAAUAUUCAUCACUACUGAGACUUUUACACUAUGGUUGCUUUUGUUGCAAAUCAAAGAAACAUUAAGAAAUCCUAAAUAAACAACAAGAAUGAUUCUUACAAUGACAUUUAUCUUCCUGACUUUCUCUUCCUGUCUCUCUCCCAGAAAUCUUUAUAAAGAACUAAAUGUCAGCUUCUGGUCUUUGUAGCAGCCGAUGCUGUAGAUAGAAGAGGAGACGAGGCCAGUCUGGAAGGUAAGCCUCAUUAUUUGUGGGGAAAAUGAGAUGAAUGUGGCACUGAUGAAUCCUUGAGCAGAUAUCAAACUUAGUGGGAGGCUCUCCUCGUGGCCAGUUCCAAACGAAGUGCAGUCACUGACGGUUGGCUGGAGGGGGACUGAGCAAUGGUGAAGACCGAGCUGUAUGACGGUUGGCUGUAGGGUGGCCUUUGCUGUGUUUGAUCGCAGUUGGAGCUCUCGAGCACGAUGAGGAAGACCGCUGUGGUCCAUCUGGCCUGGUCUUUAAUCAGUGCUUCCCUUCAGAGAGGGGGCCACGCUUUCCCUGUGCUGACCAGGCCAGCUUUUGCUUAGAGCAACCACAAGAUGAAUGUAGCUUAUUCAUAAUAUUAUUCAGCCCUCUGCAACAGUGAAUAUCUAUAGUGGAUUUCAGUUGGUCUAUAUUGAAUUGUAAUAAUAAUGUAUCUAAUUAUGUCUGUCUUAAGUUUUAAAAGAAAGAAAAAAGUUGGCAUAUCUUUGAUCAGAUGUGUCAUACCCAUUGAAAAAUUGCUUCUUAUAUAUCUUACACUGUUUAAAUAAUGCACACACACAAAGAUACACACACAAUUAUUUAUACACAACAGGUCAGUUUUUUAACUCUAGUCCCCUCAAAUGCUAAACUAAAGGUGUACCACAAGACUAACAAAUCUAUAUGUGUUUGAUAUUCAUAAUACAUGGCAAUCAUAUAGUAGCUUUUCAAAGUUGUGCAGACUGAAUUUGAUUCUGAGCGACUACUGUAAGUUAUCUGAAAAAAGUAUCUCAUUUUUAGCUCAUUGAUAUUGAAGGUACAACUCAUAUCUCUGGGGUAAAAUCGAACAGAAAUAUGCCAUCGAUCUCUCUUUUUUCCUUUCCUCGUUCCCCCUGUUCCCCCACCUAUCUUUCCGUGUUUGUAGAUACUCCAUCACCUUGUCUUUCUGAGCCCUGGGAAAAGCAUCGUCAGUAUUUCUGCGCCACUGUCCUCCAUCCAUGCUGCCUUUCUCCCAGAACUCAUGGUGCCUUACUUAAUCAAAGCAGAAGAGAGCAAGACGAGAGAAAGGAAAAGAUUCAGAAAAAGACACAAGGGCCGCUAGAUGUAGACAGAAGGAAUGCCUUAAGAAGCAAUUAGCAUAUGUACCCCCCCCCACCACCCCCGCCUGAAACGGGAUUAUUUCAGUGAGUUUGUAUUGAUGUUUUUGAACAGGCUCUAUGGCAAAGCAUUUAAUGCUGAACACUGCUGUUAGAGAGAAUGCAUUAUUAAUGUGAGGGGAAACUAACGGGGACCAGCAGUUCCUCGGGGCUGUGAAGAGGACGGUUGGCGUCUCUGAGGAAGCAACACCACGCCUCAAAGGUCUUCCUCAGUAAUGCACACAUGCCAGGCAUCUAUCAUUUAUUCAUGACAGUCAGGCGCCUCCAACUCCCUCGAACAAUUAACGAAUCAAUGAAAUGUAUGGGCUCAGAAACUAUCAAUUCGGGGAAACAGCGCCGUUUGUCAACGUGUCAGCUCUUGGGCACAGGCUAUCAUUCAGGCAGAGAGCACAUUUAUCACUUUAGAAACAGCCUGCGUGUCAUAGCAACGCGGAUAAUCCUACUACAAAAUGGCUGCCCGAUUCUGAUGAAUGAUUGAACUUCUUUAAUAACAAUCGGCCGUGACUGCUUUUAUUAAUUUAUUUAACAUGCACUCCAACAUAAUGGAUGGGGUUUUUCAAGGAGUCUCUGGAAUCUGUUUUCUUGUAAAUAAACAGCAGCGUGUUUUGUUCAGUUUGAGGGAACAAAUCUUGUCCAAGUGGCCCGUUUAAUUUCAAAUCGAGUUCAUCUUAAAAGAUUGUAGGCUGAACAAUUCAACAACUAAUGUCUUCGAGCUGUAAAAGUAAACGUGGGCGAAGAGAAUGAGAGGAGGAGAAAAAGAGUGAAAUUGAUGAAUUACUGGCGCUGCUUUCUACACUACAUUGCCUUCGCAAUUCCUGUUCAAUUAACAAAACCAUUAAUUAUAGUACUUAAGCAAGCCGGGGUAAACCAGACAAGCAAGCAUUCAUGCACUUAACACACAUUCCUGCGUAAGCAUUUACCGCUCCUCUUUUAAAAAUCACUCCAUCAUCAUUCCUGAAAUACUGAAUCAUUAAAAUGUCUAUUUCUUUUUCUGGAAGAAUAAAACGGCACCGGUGCUGAAAAAAAACAUGAACUAUUUUCUGCAUUUGGAAAUACUGUGUAUUUUAGUAUGCAUUCUCGUCUUGAGUGCCGGCUCAGCCAUAGAAAUGACUCUUCCUUUGUAAUUUCCCCCCCUUUUCUGCUCUUUCUUUUAUUUUGUAUCUUUUUAUGGCUUUGCUUGAAUAGUCUCACUUGAAACACAAAGCUCUCGCUGUUCACUGGAUCCUCAGUUUUGAUGUUCUUUUUCCCUGCAGAAAUCACAGCCCUGAAACUCCAGAUGAAGACUAGACCUUUAUUCUGUAUGCGGAGAGAGCUGUCUUUUCAAAGAGAAAAAGGGGAGAGUUUUCAAGACCUCCAAUCUGCUGCUCUCCUCAUCAACACCCAGUCCCUGUGAAAUCAUCAAAAAGCAAAGACAGUGGAAAAAAAAAAUCACAUCUUUUCAUACUGACUCUGGGCUCAGAGUUUCAGUAUUAACUGUCGUCCCUGGAGGAAGAGUCUUCCACUAGAUAGGCACAGGGGUCAGAUGUCACCUGUCCUCCCAGGCGAGUGGAGCACUGGUGGGGCUAAGACUCAAGCAAGGCAGGCUGCCCUGGUUCUCUCUCUCUGCCUGGCUGGAGACACCUGCUCCUCGCUUCACUGGUGACGGCCCCCAGUGGUGCUUUUUACGUCUACUUCCACAUGCACAAGCAUCCUGAAGCACUGCGGGUGUGCUAGUGGAUAUAUGGCUUGGAUGAAUAUGCAAAAUGUUUCAAAUCCCUGAGCUGCGGAGGAUUUUAAGGCAAGUGUGUACACGCACCUCAGAAAGGUUGCAAAGAAGGGUUUAAAAAUCAGCUCUCUCUCUGCCGAUGAACACCCAG
Long non-coding RNA from Carassius gibelio (silver crucian carp), 3493 nucleotides. RefSeq lists it as uncharacterized. The transcript is spliced from 5 exons. Lineage: Eukaryota; Metazoa; Chordata; Actinopteri; Cypriniformes; Cyprinidae. The record is from RefSeq and is a predicted model, not a curated record.